GACGAACGCUGGCGGCGCGCCUAACACAUGCAAGUCGAACGGAGCUGCGAGAAGCUUGCUUUUCUUAGCUUAGUGGCGAACGGGUGAGUAACGCGUGAGUAACCUGCCCUGGAGUGGGGGACAACAGUUGGAAACGACUGCUAAUACCGCAUAAGCCCACGAUCCGGCAUCGGAUUGAGGGAAAAGGAUUUAUUCGCUUCAGGAUGGACUCGCGUCCAAUUAGCUAGUUGGUGAGGUAACGGCCCACCAAGGCGACGAUUGGUAGCCGGACUGAGAGGUUGAACGGCCACAUUGGGACUGAGACACGGCCCAGACUCCUACGGGAGGCAGCAGUGGGGGAUAUUGCACAAUGGGGGAAACCCUGAUGCAGCGACGCCGCGUGGAGGAAGAAGGUUUUCGGAUUGUAAACUCCCGUCGUUAGGGACGAUAAUGACGGUACCUAACAAGAAAGCACCGGCUAACUACGUG
This 468-nucleotide ribosomal RNA is filed under the name uncultured bacterium. RNAcentral's name for it is "partial 16S ribosomal RNA". It matches the Rfam family "Bacterial small subunit ribosomal RNA", at positions 28 to 507 of the family's 1533-position model. The record is from RNAcentral.